CAAGACAUCUUCAUAAUGCUCUUGGCUCUUAGAACUUUCGAUUCGUUGAUUGCAGAUGUCCUCUUCUAAUGGUGGAUUUAUGGAUUCCUCUAAGACUCUUUUAGAGCUNNNUUAGAGCUGGAACAUAAUGCAGAGGCCCUACAGCCAGGAGACUCUACAUUUGGCUCCCCAGAACCAUCACUUUCUUUUCGAUCAACAAACUUGUCAGAGGAGUUCUCCAUUG
Molecule: unclassified non-coding RNA, 223 nt
Filed under: Hevea brasiliensis (rubber tree)
Lineage: Eukaryota; Viridiplantae; Streptophyta; Magnoliopsida; Malpighiales; Euphorbiaceae
Source: RNAcentral